GUUGUGUCCGUGCGGUCUUUGAGUUUGCGGGCUGUCGCAGCAUUUUCACGGUGCUUUAAGAGGGUUGGCGUGCUGGUCUCCGUCGCUGGGUCUAUGUCUCUCGAGGACACUUUUAGUAGGUGCACGUGCGUGUGUUAGGUCGCUGGUGUCGGCUUCCGCAACUGGCUUGUACCACUGCCCGAAAAGGCUCAGCGUGGUCCUGGCUUUUCCCCCGCUGUGUAGGUUGACCCGAGUUGGGUUGUAACAGGUACUUGCCGGUUCCUUCUUGGCCCUUGGCAGCUUGCCUCCAGUGUGAGGUGUACGCCUCCACCUUGCUGCUUACUUGGGUGCCUCGGCUUAUGAUCUCUGCCAUCUUGUUGCGACCUUCGAGUGUUGGAACUCUAUCACAGCCCGUGGUGCUGGUGUUGCUGCUCGCUGGCGGGCCUAGGGUGGGGACCGGGAUCUCCCCCCCGGUCCAGAGGGGGAGAAACGGGGCCAGACCCCCCUAGCCACGUGUCUCACUCGCACCGCUGGUGAGCAGGAUAGCGGGGCACCGGCCGUCCACUCCACUCACCGCCUGAGCACUCCCCAUUGCAGAGACAGAGAGCACCCCUCCGAGGGACUAAAACUUAGCAGCAAGCCUCUCCUCGGGAUCAGGGUGGUUGCAUACACAGGGUUGCCGUCUCUUUAUCGUCGGAUAGGUAGUAAAUCUGUUUUUAAGCGUUAAAACUCAUAGAAGUUGC
Pelobates cultripes (western spadefoot toad) is the source of this 722-nucleotide non-coding RNA. The record is from the annotation of a GenBank genome assembly. NCBI's taxonomy places the organism in Eukaryota, Metazoa, Chordata, Amphibia, Anura, Pelobatidae.